This 783-nucleotide long non-coding RNA is filed under the name Hermetia illucens (black soldier fly). RNAcentral describes it as "uncharacterized LOC119651594, transcript variant X1". Lineage: Eukaryota; Metazoa; Arthropoda; Insecta; Diptera; Stratiomyidae. The record is from RNAcentral.
UGGUCGUGAAUGGUUGAAAAAAAUUAAUUAUUUUUGGCGAACCCGGUUAUGGUAUACUCUGACACUAUACCCAGUGGAGGACAAGAAGUGAAUAAUACAAUGGCGUUUUGAAAUUGUCUGAGAACGUCUAUUCUUUCUCUAUAAAAGAUUGUGUUUAUCUACAUUUUUCAGAUUUUUUUUUUAGGGGUCCAAUAAAGAAUCCCAAGAAUAAAUACUCCAAGGCUAAUGGGUUCAGUCCAAUCUUAGGAUUUAUACGUUUUUGUGCUUUGUAUGUAUUCUUAGUCACCGCCUGCGUACUGUAAAUUACCUGUGCCAAGAAAAACACUCAGGAAUCCCAACCUGACUACACAGUAAAGAACCGAACUGUACACAAUGGUACUUGGCACAGAGAAAUUCUAACCACAGGGUAUAAAUCAACUGGCUUUGAUAGAGAGGAUAUUGAGCUUGGCCGUAGCAAAGCCCUUUUUCUUCUUCGGAGGAUGGAGACCACGUUCCUGGAGAAGAUCAUACUACAGUGGGGGAGGUGGCGGAUAUCGAGGACGUUCAUAUUCAGAUAUUGCUCGAGUUAUAAAUCCUAAUCCGUAUACGAAUCCUAGUGGUCCUUUUUGGACAUAUGGUUGAACCAGUUUGUUUGCUGAUUACAUCUUGGAAAGUGAUAUGUUUCAAAGUGAUAUUCUAUUUUAAGAAUAUUUUCGAAAAUUUGAUGGUUAUUAUUGUUCAAGUCAAAAAUUAAGAUAGUCAGUUGUAUCUCCGAAAUAAAGUGUUUUGUACAAUAAUCUACAA